This 424-nucleotide ribosomal RNA is filed under the name uncultured bacterium. RNAcentral's name for it is "bacterial SSU rRNA". It matches the Rfam family "Bacterial small subunit ribosomal RNA", at positions 355 to 776 of the family's 1533-position model. The record is from RNAcentral.
UGAGGAAUAUUGGUCAAUGGGCGAGAGCCUGAACCAGCCAAGUAGCGUGCAGGAAGACGGCCCUAUGGGUUGUAAACUGCUUUUAUAGGGGAAUAAAGUGAGCCACGUGUGGUUUUUUGCAUGUACCCUAUGAAUAAGGACCGGCUAAUUCCGUGCCAGCAGCCGCGGUAAUACGGAAGGUCCGGGCGUUAUCCGGAUUUAUUGGGUUUAAAGGGAGCGUAGGCCGGAGAUUAAGCGUGUUGUGAAAUGUAGAUGCUCAACAUCUGAACUGCAGCGCGAACUGGUUUCCUUGAGUACGCAUAAAGUGGGCGGAAUUCGUGGUGUAGCGGUGAAAUGCUUAGAUAUCACGAAGAACUCCGAUUGCGAAGGCAGCUCACUGGGGCGCAACUGACGCUGAAGCUCGAAAGCGCGGGUAUCGAACAGG